CAAUAGCGUAUAUUAAAGUUGUUGCAGUUAAAAAGCUCGUAGUUGGAUUUCUGGUCGGAAGCUCCUGUCCUCUGAUGAGCGUACAAGUGCGUCCUACCAUCCUUCUGUUAACCUUUAAGGGUUUCGCGGCUUUCUAGGGGCUCAGAUAUUUUACCUUGAGAAAAUUAGAGUGUUUCAGGCAGGCUAGCGCCGGAAUACAUUAGCAUGGAAUAAUGGAAUAGGACUUUUGCCUCUUCUGUUGGUCAUGAGGCUCGAGUAAUGAUUAAUAGGGAUAGUUGGGGGCAUUAGUACUUAACUGUCAGAGGUGAAAUUCUCGGAUUUGUUAAAGACUAACUUAUGCGAAAGCAUUUGCCAAGGAUGUUUUCAUUAA
This 370-nucleotide ribosomal RNA is filed under the name uncultured eukaryote. RNAcentral describes it as "partial 18S ribosomal RNA". It matches the Rfam family "Eukaryotic small subunit ribosomal RNA", at positions 592 to 976 of the family's 1831-position model. The record is from RNAcentral.